GGGGCUGAACUGGUAUCGACUCUGAUUGAUCGAGGUAGGAGAAGCGAGCCGAGGUUCCGGGUCACCUCGCUAAACCGCUCGGAAAAACAACAACUGCUGACUCUAACGAGUACGCACUCGCU
RNAcentral lists this transfer-messenger RNA (122 nucleotides) under Actinomycetota bacterium. RNAcentral's name for it is "partial transfer-messenger RNA". It matches the Rfam family "transfer-messenger RNA", at positions 1 to 122 of the family's 374-position model. Rfam says of the family: Bacterial tmRNA, also known as 10Sa RNA or SsrA, is named for its dual tRNA and mRNA-like properties. Its role is to liberate the mRNA from a stalled ribosome. To accomplish this part of the tmRNA is used as a reading frame that ends in a translation stop signal. The record is from RNAcentral. Lineage: Bacteria; Bacillati; Actinomycetota.